This 863-nucleotide unclassified non-coding RNA is filed under the name Hevea brasiliensis (rubber tree). The record is from RNAcentral. Lineage: Eukaryota; Viridiplantae; Streptophyta; Magnoliopsida; Malpighiales; Euphorbiaceae.
AAAUUACACUUUGUAUUAAAUUAUUUUUCCUUGAAGGGUGUAUAUAAUUCUACCAUGACAAACAAUUGUGGACGGAGGGAGUAUACCCCUUGAUCCUUCUCAUGAAUCAUGAUGUAGAGCAAGAGCAAAUGCAACAUCAAAAUGAGUAAACCUGGUUUUUUUCAUAACAUUAACUGGCUGUAAUAUAAAUAACAAAGCUAAAACUGAAUAAUCAAUUAAAUUCAAAAUAGCAAGGUAGAACCUGCAACUGAUAGAAGCAUCUUCCCUCCGUCAAAGACGAUCUGCUAAAGUUUUCCAGCAAAGGCUUAACAAUAACAAUUUAAACAAAGGAGAAGAUAGGGAGUUGCACAUAGCAUCAUUAUAACCGCGCAUUGGUGCAUCUUACUACCAUCCUUCUCAUCUUUCAUUAUUUUUCUGAUGGUAUCACUCCAAGAUUAUUUUCUUUUGUAGGGUUGCCUCAUCUGAGCAUAGGUGCAUCUGAUUGUCAUCCCCAUCAAGAGAUUCUACUUCCUCUGGAAUCACUUUCGGAAUAUUCUGCAGCGCAAGUUCCAGCUCUCGAGCAAUCCUAUGAUUCGUGAUGUCCUCAUGAAGAAUUUUAGCCCUUUGUUCAAGCUCCACAACUGUAAGCUUUUUAAAAAUCCCAUCUUUGACUUUCUUUCUGAACUCAUCACAUUCUUCAUUAGAAAAUUCAUCAUCAGAAAGCGUGUUCAAGCAAACAUUUUUUGCGAUAUUUGAAACUUGAAUUGAACUCUUGCAACAGCAGUUAUCGCUUGAUACAGGCUGGAUCCCUGUAAUUUGCACAAGCUGAUGAGAGUUGCGCUGUGGAUCUAACUUGACCAGAACAAAACUUCCUAUAAUCUUGG